CCCUUAGAUGUCCUGGGCCGCACGCGCGCUACACUGAUGCAUGCAACGAGUUUAUAACCUUGGCCUGAAAGGUCUGGGUAAUCUUUUGAACGUGCAUCGUGAUAGGGAUAGAUUAUUGCAAUUGUUAAUCUUGAACGAGGAAUUCCUAGUAAACGCGAGUCAUCAGCUCGCAUUGAUUACGUCCCUGCCCUUUGUACACACCGCCCGUCACACCUACCGAUUGAAUGGUUCGGUGAAGAUCUCGGACUUCGAUAUUUAUUCUUUAUUGAGUUUAUAUUGUGGGAAGUUAUCUAAACCUCAUCAUUUAGAGGAAGGUGAAGUCGUAACA
Molecule: ribosomal RNA, 328 nt
Filed under: uncultured eukaryote
Lineage: Eukaryota
Description: partial 18S ribosomal RNA
Rfam family: Eukaryotic small subunit ribosomal RNA
Source: RNAcentral